GGAAUUUUGGACAAUGGGGGCAACCCUGAUCCAGCCAUGCCGCGUGUGUGAAGAAGGCCUUCGGAUUGUAAAGCACUUUAAGUUGGGAGGAAGGGCAUUAACCUAAUACGUUAGUGUUUUGACGUUACCGACAGAAUAAGCACCGGCUAACCCUGUUCCAGCAGCCGCGGUAAUACAGAGGGUGCAAGCGUUAAUCGGAAUUACUGGGCGUAAAGCGCGCGUAGGUGGUUCGUUAAGUUGGAUGUGAAAUCCCCGGGCUCAACCUGGGAACUGCAUUCAAAACUGACGAGCUAGAGUAUGGUAGAGGGUGGCGGAAUUUCCUGUGUAGCGGUGAAAUGCGUAGAUAUAGGAAGGAACACCAGUGGCGAAGGCGACCACCUGGACUGAUACUGACACUGAGGUGCGAAAGCGUGGGGAGCAAAC
Molecule: ribosomal RNA, 423 nt
Filed under: uncultured bacterium
Lineage: Bacteria
Description: bacterial SSU rRNA
Rfam family: Bacterial small subunit ribosomal RNA
Source: RNAcentral